UGUGGGAGCGAGCCUGCUCGCGAUGGCGGCGGCAUGUCUAACAUCAAUGUAAACUGACCCACCGCUAUCGCGAGCAGGCUCGCUCCCACA
This 90-nucleotide unclassified non-coding RNA is filed under the name Pseudomonas corrugata. The record is from RNAcentral. Lineage: Bacteria; Pseudomonadati; Pseudomonadota; Gammaproteobacteria; Pseudomonadales; Pseudomonadaceae.